CGGACUAUGGCGCAGUUUGGUAGCGCACUACACUGGGGGUGUAGGGGUCGCAGGUUCAAAUCCUGUUAGUCCGA
Corynebacterium aurimucosum ATCC 700975 is the source of this 74-nucleotide transfer RNA. It matches the Rfam family "tRNA". Rfam says of the family: Transfer RNA (tRNA) molecules are approximately 80 nucleotides in length. The record is from Rfam. Lineage: Bacteria; Bacillati; Actinomycetota; Actinomycetes; Mycobacteriales; Corynebacteriaceae.